GCGGCCAUGGCGGAAUGGUAGACGCGUACGCUUGAGGUGCGUAUGGGGUAACCCGUGAAGGUUCAAGUCCUUUUGGCCGCACCA
Molecule: transfer RNA, 84 nt
Filed under: Alphaproteobacteria bacterium
Lineage: Bacteria; Pseudomonadati; Pseudomonadota; Alphaproteobacteria
Also listed under: 2 other names
Description: tRNA-Leu
Rfam family: tRNA
About the family: Transfer RNA (tRNA) molecules are approximately 80 nucleotides in length. Their secondary structure includes four short double-helical elements and three loops (D, anti-codon, and T loops).
Source: RNAcentral